GCAGUCGAACGGAAGUACCUUCGGGUACUUUAGUGGCGAACGGGUGAGUAAUACAUAGGUAACCUACCCUUAAGACGAGGAUAGCCAUUGGAAACGAUGGAUAAAACUGGAUAGGAUAUAGAGGAAGAAUCUUUUAUAUUUAAAAGAGAGAUCUGCUUAAGGAGGGGCCUGUGGCGCAUUAGCUAGUUGGUGGGGUAAGGGCCUACCAAGGCGAUGAUGCGUAGCCGGACUGAGAGGUUGAACGGCCACAAUGGAACUGAGAACGGUCCAUACUCCUACGGGAGGCAGCAGUAGGGAAUUUUCGGCAAUGGGGGGAACCCUGACCGAGCAACGCCGCGUGAACGAAGAAGUUAUUCGUAAUGUAAAGUUCUUUUAUCAGGGAAGAAAGAGGAAUUUGACGGUACCUGAGGAAUAAGCUCCGGCUAACUACGUGCCAGCAGCCGCGGUAAUACGUAGGGAGCGAGCGUUAUCCGGAAUUAUUGGGCGUAAAGGGUGCGUAGAUGGCAUAGUAAGUCUUUUGUAAAAAUGCUGGGCUCAACCCAGUAGGGCAAAAGAUACUGCAAAGCUAGAGUAUGACAGAGGCAAGUGGAACUACAUGUGUAGCGGUAAAAUGCGUAAAUAUAUGUAAGAACACCAGUGGCGAAGGCGGCUUGCUGGGUCGAUACUGACAUUGAGGCACGAAAGCGUGGGGAGC
RNAcentral lists this ribosomal RNA (694 nucleotides) under uncultured bacterium. RNAcentral describes it as "bacterial SSU rRNA". It matches the Rfam family "Bacterial small subunit ribosomal RNA", at positions 57 to 769 of the family's 1533-position model. The record is from RNAcentral.